This 408-nucleotide ribosomal RNA is filed under the name uncultured bacterium. Its description in RNAcentral is "partial 16S ribosomal RNA". It matches the Rfam family "Bacterial small subunit ribosomal RNA", at positions 28 to 526 of the family's 1533-position model. The record is from RNAcentral.
GACGAACGCUGGUGGCGUGCUUAACACAUGCAAGUCGAAAGGAGUGGCGAACGGGUGAGUAACACGUGGGUGAUCUGCCUUGCACUUCGGGAUAAGCUUGCGACACUGGGUCUAAUACCGGAUAGUGCAAGAUGAGCUCGCGGCCGAUCAGCUUGUUGGUGGGGUAAUGGCCUACCAAGGCGUCGACGGGUAGCCGGCCUGAGCGGGUGUACGGCCACAUUGGGACUGAGGUACGGCCCAGACUCUUACGGGAGGCAGCAGUGGGGAAUAUUGCACAAUGAGCGGAAGCCUGAUGCAGCGCCGCCGCGUGGGGGAUGAAGGCCUUCGGGUUGUAAACUCCUUUCGACAGGGACGCGGUACCUGUAUAAGAAGCACCGGCUAACUACGUGUCAGCAACCGCGGUAAUUC